Molecule: long non-coding RNA, 1850 nt
Organism: Equus caballus (horse)
Lineage: Eukaryota; Metazoa; Chordata; Mammalia; Perissodactyla; Equidae
Source: Ensembl
GUAUGUCACUUUGAUAAAUACUAAGAAAAUAAGAGUAUAAAAGAAUUUAAAUGACCUCUAAGCUACCCAGAGAUAACCAUUGUUUCCUUUGAAAAUGCGUAACAAAAUUGGAGUUGAAGUUUAAAAACUGCAUGAUAUACUGUCAUGUAACGUGAUUCUUACCAUUUUUUAUUGUGUAUUUAAGAUACAGUUUUUGGUGUCAAUGUGUUGAAUAAGGGGUCUCUAUUUCCUUCAACCUUUCCCCACUCCCCACUUUGAAAUCCCUUGCUUCUGUUAGAAAUCCACAUUAAGCUACAUACUAGAAGUGUGAUUUUCAUCAUCCAUAUCAAGGAGAUAACCAACAGUAGUGACCCUCAUAGGAUUGUUGUGAGGAUUAAAAUGGACAAGCUGUUUAGAUGAUCGGACAAGGACUGGACAUCUGGUCAAAUUUGAGCCAAUUAGAUGAUUUCUCCCAAGAAUUUGGAACUGGAAAGUGAUGUCUUCGGAGGUUGCAUUUGGAACAUGCAUGUGAAGCAGAAAAUAAAGCAAUGGUGAGAGAGUGUACAACCUCAGAAGAAAAAGAUGAGAACAGCUGCCUUGAUUGUUGAUAAUUUUGCAGUUUUUGUUCCAAUGUUUUGUGCUUGUCUGCAUUUCCUGCUCCUGGGUUCCAUAAGAUGCCCUUAAAACCUUACAGAGAGACCCCCCACUUCCACCUUUAGUUUUUUAAAUUUUGAGGCUCUUCCUUGCUACCAAAUAAUGCCAAAUAAAACCAGCUGAGGUACAAUUACUUUUUGCAUAAAAUACAGUGGCUUGACAUAGUUGAUGACUUGGUUCUGUAGAAAAUAUAAAGUCACGGUUGGUGCCAGAUGAGUCAGGUUUAGAUGAGGGAGAACUUAGAAUGGAGCCUGAAUGAGUCAGAAAGGGUGAGCCUUGAAGUAAAAUGUGCCCAAGAGAACGGAUUAAAAGGCCUAGAAGUUCAUCUGCAGUUUGAGGACACCGUUAUCAAAGGACUGGGUCUAUGUGUCUGUGUUUGGUCUUAAGGAAUAUUGACUUUCUGCCAACAUAAUAGUGUUUAUAGCUUUGUAGUUAAUAUCACACUACACAGUGUUCCCUUUAUAUUUUCAUCAUGUAUUGGGACUUGGAUUCAAGUCCUAUCUUUUAAUUGUGUUAACCCAAUUACUUAGUCUUACUCACACUCUGACGCUUUAAAAAUUCUUAGUUAAUUCCAUCUUUCCCAUUUUUAUCCUUGGUAACUUUCUGUGGCUUUUUCAUCUUGAAUCAUUGAAUGAAGAUUAAACCUUUCAGAGUAACGUGUAGUGCAUAGAUUUUGGACUUAGGACACAAACUCGCCUGUGUCCAUCUCUACUGCUUACCAGCUGUAUGACCUUGGACUCUACCUUUCCACUCUGCACUUCAGUUUUCUAAUCUGUAAAACAGGGAUAAUAGCAUCAUCUUCCUAAGGGUGAUGGAGGAGAUUAAAUAAGUUAGUGCAUGUAAACCACUUCCCACUGUACCUGGCACAUGGUUAAGUAUUAGUUAAUGCAAGCCUUGGAGAAAUCAAUACUCUUCCCAUACUUGGAGAUAAUUAUCCCCAUCUUGUGUUAAUGUGUUCAUUCACUUUGAUCCACCUACUUGUCUGUCAGCUAACAUUUCUUCAUAAAAUUGGUAGUAUUUGUAUUGUGCCUUUUUAUUAUGAAACAUUUUCAAACAUACAGAAAAAAUAUAUAGGAAAUAUAACAAAUACCUGUGUGUCCACCAUCCAGGUUUUUCAGUCUUAUCAUUCUAAACGUAUUUGCUUGUUUCUUUUGAAAAGAAAAGAUUACAGCUGUUGUUAAAAUCUGUAUAGCCCUGUCUCAUUCCAUUUCUCUCCU